This 311-nucleotide long non-coding RNA is filed under the name Homo sapiens (human). RNAcentral describes it as "HSALNT0025685". Lineage: Eukaryota; Metazoa; Chordata; Mammalia; Primates; Hominidae. The record is from RNAcentral.
GUCAGUUCUGAGAAACUGUUAUAUACAAUACCAUUGUCUAUGCCACAUGAGGCAAGAGCAUUUGGACGUAAAAUGAAACACAGGAUUCAUCAUCCUGAUGCUUCCCAGUGUUUGGUGCCCCUGAGAAAUCCCUCCUGAGCGACUGGCUGGACCCUUUACAAAGCAUUUCUCCAGAGUUGACCCUGAAGACAUGCUCAUAAUUACUUAUGUGUGUCCCUGAGAAAUGUAGGUGAAAUUUAAGUUGAAUUGAACCUCACAUGUGCUAAGGAUGUUUGUUAUUUAAAGAACCUGUUGUCUAUUUAUUUUUAAAG